Long non-coding RNA from Orcinus orca (killer whale), 4497 nucleotides. RefSeq lists it as uncharacterized. NCBI's taxonomy places the organism in Eukaryota, Metazoa, Chordata, Mammalia, Artiodactyla, Delphinidae. The record is from RefSeq and is a predicted model, not a curated record. The transcript has 2 exons.
UCAUUCGAACUGCGUAACAAUGAGCCCCAGGGCCCAGCGGCUCCGCGAGCUUCCCAGCUCGACCCGAGCCCCUCUCGGCCCCUAAAGAGGCGGCGCCUCACGGCAGUCCCCCACCCGCGGCCGGCCGCCCACCCCGGGCCAACCUCCGACCCUCCGCCCACUCGCGAGGAGUUGAAGUCAAACUUUCCGGGGCAGCCCCGGCGCCGCGUCGGCCCCCUUCCCCCGCCCAGGCCCGCCCCAUCUCCGCACCCGGCUCGGCCACCCACCGCGCCACCCUGCCCGGAGCACCGUCCUCGCCUACGCCUCCCAGCCCCCGCCCCGAGACCUCCACGGGCCGCGCCGCCGCGAAGCCCAGUGGAGAAGAUGGCGUGUCAAUCACUAGGGUGAGCGCUUCGGAUUGGAUUGCUGCCGAGACUGCCGGGACCCGAGCCAAACUUUGCCCGCGAAAUGGAUUGUGGGUUUGUAGUCUCGGCCUAGCUGCGUUCCUCUUAGGAACUGCACGUCGGAGGAAACGAUUGGACUACAUAUCCCAGAAGCGCGUGCACAGUACAGGCUUGAUAGUAAACAAGAGUCAUAGGGACACGUGUAUCAGCUCGUUUGUUUUGGUGUCUGGGACAAAAGGGAGGGGGCGGAGGAAGUGAGUGUUUUAGAGCUUUGGCCUUUUCUCUUCCUCUGCUAGCACUUGAGAGCCGCCCCAAACCUCUCGCAGCACCCAUUCCGGGCCAUAAACAGCCAGAGUCGCUCGCUGCUCAAAGUUUGGCAGGAGGCCAAGGUAUUGUUUUAGUGCGAGGGGAAGGAGAUGACUGCACAAGCGGAAGCAGCGCUGCCUCGUGGGGGACCCAGUCACCCACAAAUCACGGCCCCAGGCAUAGUGGGGAUAAUAAAGGUGGUGCUGGGCUCCAGUGGGAAGACUUAGCAUUAUUUUAUCCUGAGCCUGGCCUCGCCCCUCCCGGGACAGCAGCUUGAGAUUUCUCUGCCAACUCUGUUCAGUUCACCCGAGAUUUUUUGAAUGCCGUCUACGUGCCAGGCACCGAGAGGCUUGGGGAUGAACUGUGAGAGAGAAGCUCGGGGUCUGGAGAAUUUACAAAGCUCGGGACGGGAGGGGCGAGGGGCGAUUACUACUGACUUUGGAAUUAAGGGAAGUCAAAGCGAUGUUUUCCAUAUUGACCAGCUUGCUCGUUGUUUAAGGUAAUCAGAGGGGUAUAAUGUGUGACUUAAACUGAUUUAAUUUGUGAAUUGUUAUCUGAAUUUCCUUGGUGAGUUUUUGUUAACCAGUUUUUCUCUCCAGAGGUCUUCCCAUUGAUGAAAGAAGAAUGUCUUCCCACUUCGUUUUCACUAGGAGUUCCUCAAGUUACUAAUGCUCUGACUCACCCGAGGAGGAUGGCUUCUCUGGCUUUAUAGUUACCUUCACUUUAAAUAAGGCUGUCCAGUCCCUAGUCUAUAAUUGAUGUUUUUACCAUUCCCAUUACAAAGGCAUUAUUCACCUUUUUUCUUUUGAACCUUUAGUGUUUAACCAUUUAAGCUAUGCUUUAGGUUUUAUAUCUUUAGAUCACUAUAUGUAUGCUUAAAAUUAAGGGCAGGAAACAUAUUAGUGAGAAAUCUAUAAAGUCAAACUUUUGGAAAGGAGCCUUAAAUCAUAGCUGGUUAUUCCUUUAAACCCCCUACAUUUCCUGAAUUUUUAAAUCUAUCUGAAACCCACAUAACAAAUCUGGAAAUCCAAAAUAACUUUCCCAUAUUGCAACAAGUUUCCAAAUUCUCUUAGGGAUUCCCUGUUCAAAUCCUUCAAUGGAAAUUAUGGAAUAGUCUUCCCUACCAUGUGAUCAAAGAUUCACUUUCUGUGUUCACAAAUAGUAAUCAAACAUUUUUUUGUAAUUCAGAGGACCAAUAAAAUGCCUAAAUUUUUCCCUGAGUAAAAAGGACAAGAUUUGUAUUUACAAUCAUUCAGAGAUUAAUGGAGUGACCCCAGGACUCGAAUGUGGCCCUGCUAUUCUGUGUAUUUUUAUUUUCUUCCCUUUUUUUUUUUUGACAGUGGAGGGUCAUUGUGCCCCAGAAUUGAAAAAUUGAAAAUAUGAACUCCAGUGUUUAAUUUCUUGACAGAAAGAAAAAUCCAUGGAAUUCCCCUGAUUACUGAAAACUAAAAUCUGAGCUAUUUAUGAGUAACUCCCUCCAGGAAACUAAAAAGCUUUCCCUCCCUGAAAAAUGAACUCUCAAGAGCUGGUGCCACUCCUUUCUCCCCUUCACUGUAUAAACCAUGAGAUCUACUUUUGGCUGAACCUUAACUUAUUUUAAAAGGUUUUUUAAUUGAAAGCGUUUACUAAAAGCCUUAGUGGAGGUAUUUUUAUUUGUGGAAUAAAUGGGAUGAUGUGAAGAAUAACUUCACCUACAGAAGAUGGCAAGAAUAACUUCACCUACAGAUCAAGCUGUUGUACAUUAUUAGAAAUGAUUAUCUUUUAAUAGCCCUGUAAAGGUUUUUCUAUCCAUUCAUUCAAAAAUAUUUAUUCAGUGCCUACUAUUGGUUGACCACUGUGCUAGUUGAUAAGGAUACAAAGAUAUAAAAUAUUUUCACAUACUCUCGUUUUUGUCCAAGUCAUUAAAUAGAAGAGUAAAAUUCUCAUAGUUCAGUCACAACUGAUUAAAUAUCAGUGUUAGAAUCUCUAUACCUCUAAGUGGACAAUUAGUCCUGUCUUCUGACUCUCCUGGGAAACUAAAUGCCUAGAUUAGUACCUUAUGUAUAUUUAACAGGAACAUCAUCAUUCAUUCUUGGAUGGCUAACAAAACCAGCCGACUCCUAAGCCAGAACAAAGAUCAAAGUACAAAACCAGUAAGAUCUCUUUAGAAAUCUUUACAUAUGUAAAUUCUACUCUUUCACUAAAACAGAUAUAAAGAAUUUUUUAUCACUAAUAUAUUAUUUAUAUAUAAUAAAAUAUAAAAUGAGGUUUAUAUUUUAUAUAAUGGAUAUAAAAUCUUUAUAUAUAUAUAAAGAACAUCUGUUCAUAAGACACUUCCAUGAUAAAACUGACAUUAAAAAAUUAGUUUCUUUAAAUAGCACCUACUUUUGGUUAGACAGAUAUGAUAUACACACACAUAUUACACAUAAACUAUGCCCAGAUAGGUCAAGAAGUUGUCUACUAACAUCCAAAUGUCUUUUCAGCAGUUUGUAAAAUACCUCUGUCUUUAUAAAGAAACAUCAAGUUCUAGUUUGUUAGUUAAAAAAAAAAACUAGAUAAAUCCUAUUUAGGGGUGAAAUUAAACAAUGUAUUUCCCUGGAUUCCACCACAUCUGGUACACCAAUGACUACUGUGCUGGACUAAGAAAGGUAGGAGAUAAAGCACAUGGCACUGCUUAAAUAUUUAAAAUAUUGCUGUUGGGGGAAUACCCUGGUUGCGCAGUGGUUAGGUCUCUAAGCUUUCCACUACCCCGCACUCCACGCCCCUCCCUCUUCCCCAAGCCUCUCGGUGUGGCCAAAAAAAAAAAAAAAAAUCGCUCUUCAAAAUGUUAAAAGGUAAUGAAAUCAUUCAAAUCAAGUACUCAAAUUAGAAAAUGGAGCACAUAGAUGGACUAAAAUAGUUAAGUGCCCAAACUUUUCAGGUAGUAUCUUUCUUGGCAGAUUAUUUAAACUCUUACACAAAUAUCCUUCCAUAUAUCUUAGUAUACUUUAUUAAAUGAGCUAAUUUUAUAAUUAUCUUAGUUCAAAGUACUCAGGUAAACUCAAAUUGUAAGGAAUUGCCUGGGAAUUAAAUGAUGAGGGCCCUUUCAGGACUGAGAAAUAUGUCUUUUGUGUUUGUAAUUUUUGAUGCAAUUAAAAGUUUAGAUUUUCCUCACAUGACCAUAAAGCAAGACCUUUCUUCAGUGGUUGAUAUGUGGGUGACAUAACGCAAUCACCAUUAGGAGGAAGAAUCAAGGAUUGUUGAAACACACAGAUACAGAGAACAGAGUAGUGGUUACUAGAGGGAAAGGGGCGCGGUGGGGGGAGGGAAAAAUGGGUUAAGCGGAUCAACUGUAUGGUGACAGAUGGAAACUAAAUUUUUGGUGGUGAGCACGCUGUAGUGUAUUCCGAAGUAGAAAUAGGUUGUACAUAUGAAACAUAUAAUGUUAUAAACCAAUGUUACCGCAAUAAAAAAUUUAAAAAGAAGAAUUGUUGGGUUUCUGAGAUAGGUAGAGUUUCUGGCUGGGAUACCUGUGGUGUGUCAGUGCUAUUGUCAAUGCUGUUGACAGAGAUAGGGAAUGUUGGAAAAAACAGAGAUGGGCACUGGGAGAAGGGGAAAGGAUGGGGUCAAGUUCAGAUGAUGAGCUCCCUGUGCAGGCAGGAAAUUUUUGUACCCAGUUCCUGUAAGCAGCUGAACAUAUUUGUCUGGCGUUUAGGACAGCCAAGUCUAGAGAAAUAAACGUGGGUGUCCUCAGCCCUCAAAAAGUUUUUGUAAGUUGUGCAAUUUAGUAUUACUGAAAAUGUAUUAGAGAAGGCAACAAUUCUAUUAAAAAAAUUUUUUUGGAUGUGGA